Molecule: non-coding RNA, 30 nt
Filed under: Rattus norvegicus (Norway rat)
Lineage: Eukaryota; Metazoa; Chordata; Mammalia; Rodentia; Muridae
Source: RNAcentral
UGACAUGAUGAUUUGGGUAAAUGGUCUAUC